Molecule: ribosomal RNA, 483 nt
Filed under: uncultured bacterium
Lineage: Bacteria
Description: partial 16S ribosomal RNA
Rfam family: Bacterial small subunit ribosomal RNA
Source: RNAcentral
AUUGAACGCUGGCGGCAUGCUUUACACAUGCAAGUCGAACGGCAGCGCGGGCUUCGGCCUGGCGGCGAGUGGCGAACGGGUGAGUAAUGCAUCGGAACGUGCCCAGUAGUGGGGGAUAGCCCGGCGAAAGCCGGAUUAAUACCGCAUACGACCUGAGGGUGAAAGCGGGGGACCGAAAGGCCUCGCGCUAUUGGAGCGGCCGAUGUCGGACUAGCUAGUUGGUGGGGUAAAGGCUUACCAAGGCGACGAUCCGUAGCUGGUCUGAGAGGACGACCAGCCACACUGGGACUGAGACACGGCCCAGACUCCUACGGGAGGCAGCAGUGGGGAAUUUUGGACAAUGGGGGCAACCCUGAUCCAGCCAUGCCGCGUGCGGGAAGAAGGCCUUCGGGUUGUAAACCGCUUUUGUUCGGGAAGAAAUCCUCUGGGCUAAUACCCCGGGGGGAUGACGGUACCGGAAGAAUAAGCACCGGCUAACUACGU